RNAcentral lists this ribosomal RNA (496 nucleotides) under uncultured bacterium. RNAcentral describes it as "partial 16S ribosomal RNA". It matches the Rfam family "Bacterial small subunit ribosomal RNA", at positions 28 to 506 of the family's 1533-position model. The record is from RNAcentral.
GAUGAACGCUGGCGGCGUGCCUAAUACAUGCAAGUCGAGCGAACAGACGAGGAGCUUGCUCCUCUGACGUUAGCGGCGGACGGGUGAGUAACACGUGGAUAACCUACCUAUAAGACUGGGAUAACUUCGGGAAACCGGAGCUAAUACCGGAUAAUAUAUUGAACCGCAUGGUUCAAUAGUGAAAGACGGUUUUGCUGUCACUUAUAGAUGGAUCCGCGCCGCAUUAGCUAGUUGGUAAGGUAACGGCUUACCAAGGCAACGAUGCGUAGCCGACCUGAGAGGGGGAUCGGCAAAACGGGAACUAAGAAAGGGUCCAGAACCGUCAGGGAGGAAGAAUUAGGAAACCUUCGGAAAGGGGGAAAGGCCGAAGGGGGAAAGGCGGGGUGAGUGAGAAAGGCUUAGGGAUCGUAAACUUAUGUUAUUGGGAAAAAAAAAAGGGGUAAGUAAGAAUGCAGGUAUGAAGGGAACUUAAUAAGAAGGCAAGGGUAAAUUAGGG